RNAcentral lists this transfer RNA (72 nucleotides) under Oryctolagus cuniculus (rabbit). It matches the Rfam family "tRNA". From Rfam's summary of the family: Transfer RNA (tRNA) molecules are approximately 80 nucleotides in length. Their secondary structure includes four short double-helical elements and three loops (D, anti-codon, and T loops). Lineage: Eukaryota; Metazoa; Chordata; Mammalia; Lagomorpha; Leporidae. The record is from Rfam by way of RNAcentral.
GGUUCCAAGGUGUAAUGGUGAGCGCUCUGGACUCUGAAUCCAGCAAUUCGAGUUCAAAUCUCGGUGGGACCU